AACCAACCUUCUUUCUGGUCAGGUUACCCAUCUAACCCUUAGUGAACACUGUUCAACUGUUUUGACAAUUAUUCAACAACUCCCGAUCGUUAGAUUGCACUCAAAAUUUAAUUUUGGGAACUAGAUCGAAUAGUGCGGUGAGUUUUGGAAAGCAUGCCAUUCAUUUUGUGAACUAGAUUGAGAGUUUAGCUCUGUAUUCUUUGUUUUAUGUAAUCUAAUACAUUCAAAAUGGCAUACCAUUUUUGUUUCCAUAAUUGUUGAUAUAUAAAAUUUGCAGAAAGAGAUGGAUGCAUUUGAAAGAAUAAAAA
RNAcentral lists this unclassified non-coding RNA (308 nucleotides) under Hevea brasiliensis (rubber tree). The record is from RNAcentral. Lineage: Eukaryota; Viridiplantae; Streptophyta; Magnoliopsida; Malpighiales; Euphorbiaceae.